AUCUAAAAAUACUCCUUAAAGCGUCGAAAGAAAUACUAGAUUUCUUACCAAAAAUUUGAUGUUUUUCCCUCGCCAUUCUACUUUCUUUCUCUUCUUCUCUCACUAGACUACUAUCUCUCUCUCUUUAAACAUUUGAAAAAUAGAAGAAUGGAAGUGUGGAGAGGAAGGGAAGGGGCAGGGCAAUUUAUAAAAUUUUGAAACCAUUGGAUUCGCACCAAGUGACAAAAUCCGAUGAAGAGAGAGGAUAAGAAGAUGCUUAGCACGAAAAAUGAGGAAAGAGGGCCUCCUU
This 289-nucleotide long non-coding RNA is filed under the name Carica papaya (papaya). RNAcentral describes it as "long non-coding RNA (CPAP_LNC003881)". The record is from RNAcentral. Lineage: Eukaryota; Viridiplantae; Streptophyta; Magnoliopsida; Brassicales; Caricaceae.